RNAcentral lists this transfer RNA (85 nucleotides) under Desulfobacterales bacterium. RNAcentral's name for it is "tRNA-Tyr". It matches the Rfam family "tRNA". Rfam says of the family: Transfer RNA (tRNA) molecules are approximately 80 nucleotides in length. Their secondary structure includes four short double-helical elements and three loops (D, anti-codon, and T loops). RNAcentral also lists the same sequence under 1 other name. The record is from RNAcentral. Lineage: Bacteria; Pseudomonadati; Thermodesulfobacteriota; Desulfobacteria; Desulfobacterales.
GGAGAGGUUCCCGAGUGGCUAAAGGGAGCAGACUGUAAAUCUGCCGGCUCUGCCUUCGGAGGUUCGAAUCCUCCCCUCUCCACCA